Molecule: ribosomal RNA, 1244 nt
Filed under: metagenome
Description: bacterial SSU rRNA
Rfam family: Bacterial small subunit ribosomal RNA
Source: RNAcentral
AGAGUUUGAUCCUGGCUCAGAGCGAACGCUAGCGGCGGGCUUAACACAUGCAAGUCGAGCGGAGGGGCAACCCUUAGCGGCGAACGGGUGAGUAACGCGUAGGUAACGUGCCUUCAGGUGGGGAACAACCGUGGGAAACCAUGGCUAAUACCGCAUAAUGUCGAAAGAUGAAAGCCUUCGGGCGCCUGGAGAGCGGCCUGCGUCCCAUUACCUAGUUGGUAGGGUAACGGCCUACCAAGGGAACGAUGGGUAGCUGGUCUAAGAGGAUGAUCAGCCACACUGGAACUGAGACACGGUCCAGACUCCUACGGGAGGCAGCAGUGGGGAAUAUUGCGCAAUGGGGGAAACCCUGACGCAGCCACGCCGCGUGAGUGAAGAAGGCCUUCGGGUCGUAAAGCUCAGUCGGGAGAGACGAAGGGGUAAAACUCUGACGGUAUCUCGCAAGAAAGCACCUAACUCUGUGCCAGCAGCCGCGGUAAUACAGAGGGUGCAAGCGUUGCUCGGAUUUACUGGGCGUAAAGCGUACGCAGACGGACCGUCAAGUCGGGAGUGAAAGCCCUGGGCUCAACCCAGGAACGGCUUUCGAUACUAGCGGUCUUGAGUUUGGGAGAGGGAAGCGGAAUUCCUGGUGUAGAGGUGAAAUUCGUAGAUAUCAGGAGGAACACCGGCGGCGAAGGCGGCUUCCUGGCCCAAUACUGACGUUCAGGUACGAAAGCGUGGGUAGCAAACAGGAUUAGAUACCCUGGUAGUCCACGCUGUAAACGAUGAGUGCUGGAUGUCGGAGGUAUUCACCCCUUCGGUAUCGAAGCUAACGCGUUAAGCACUCCGCCUGGGGAGUACGGCCGCAAGGUUGAAACUCAAAGGAAUUGACGGGGGCCCGCACAAGCGGUGGAGUAUGUGGUUUAAUUCGACCCACGCGCAGAACCUUACCCAGCCUUGACAUCCUUGGAACCGAGUGGAAACACUUGGGUGCUCUCGCAAGAGAGAGCCAGGAGACAGGUGCUGCAUGGCUGUCGUCAGCUCGUGUCGUGAGAUGUUCGGUUAAGUCCGGCAACGAGCGCAACCCCUGUCUUCAGUUGCCAUCAUUCAGUUGGGCACUCUGGAGAGACUGCCGGCGUCAAGCCGGAGGAAGGUGGGGAUGACGUCAAGUCCUCAUGGCCUUUAUGGUUGGGGCUACACACGUACUACAAUGAUGACUACAAAGGGCAGCCAACCCGCGAGGGGGAGCAAAUCCCAAAAAAGUC